Molecule: ribosomal RNA, 496 nt
Filed under: uncultured bacterium
Lineage: Bacteria
Description: partial 16S ribosomal RNA
Rfam family: Bacterial small subunit ribosomal RNA
Source: RNAcentral
GACGAACGCUGGCGGCGUGCCUAAUACAUGCAAGUAGAACGCUGAAGAGAGGAGCUUGCUCUUCUUGGAUGAGUUGCGAACGGGUGAGUAACGCGUAGGUAACCUUCCUUGUAGCGGGGGAUAACUAUUGGAAACGAUAGCUAAUACCGCAUAACAAUGGAUGACCCAUGUCAUUUAUUUUAAAGGGGCAAAUGCUCCACUACAAGAUGGACCUGCGUUGUAUUAGCUAGUAGGUGAGGUAACGGCUCACCUAGGCGACGAUACAUAGCCGACCUGAGAGGGUGAUCGGCCACACUGGGACUGAGACACGGCCCAGACUCCUACGGGAGGCAGCAGUAGGGAAUAUUCGGCAAUGGGGGCAACCCUGACCGAGCAACGCCGCGUGAGUGAAGAAGGUUUUCGGAUCGUAAAGCUCUGUUGUAAGUAAAGAACGAGUGUGAGAGUGGAAAGUUCACACUGUGACGGUAGCUUACCAGAAAGGGACGGCUAACUACGU